GACGAACGCUGGCGGCGUGCUUAACACAUGCAAGUCGAACGGAAAGGCCCUGCUUUUGUGGGGUGCUCGAGUGGCGAACGGGUGAGUAACACGUGAGUAACCUGCCCUUGACUUUGGGAUAACUUCAGGAAACUGGGGCUAAUACCGGAUAGGAGCUCCUGCUGCAUGGUGGGGGUUGGAAAGUUUCGGCGGUUGGGGAUGGACUCGCGGCUUAUCAGCUUGUUGGUGGGGUAGUGGCUUACCAAGGCUUUGACGCGUAGCCGGCCUGUGAGGGUGACCGGCCACAUUGGGACUGAGAUACGGCCCAGACUCCUACGGGAGGCAGCAGUGGGGAAUAUUGCACAAUGGGCGGAAGCCUGAUGCAGCAACGCCGCGUGCGGGAUGACGGCCUUCGGGUUGUAAACCGCUUUCGCCUGUGACGAAGCGUGAGUGACGGUAAUGGGUAAAGAAGCACCGGCUAACUACGUG
RNAcentral lists this ribosomal RNA (468 nucleotides) under uncultured bacterium. RNAcentral describes it as "partial 16S ribosomal RNA". It matches the Rfam family "Bacterial small subunit ribosomal RNA", at positions 28 to 507 of the family's 1533-position model. The record is from RNAcentral.